RNAcentral lists this long non-coding RNA (1113 nucleotides) under Zonotrichia albicollis (white-throated sparrow). RNAcentral's name for it is "lncRNA (ENSZALG00000007273.1)". Lineage: Eukaryota; Metazoa; Chordata; Aves; Passeriformes; Passerellidae. The record is from RNAcentral.
CUUGUCAUCCCAGUGGUGGCCACAGUGACCUCUCCUUUUCCUUGUCCUGGUGGGAGGUGACCUCCUUGUGUCCUUGUCCUGGUGGUGGAUGACCUCUCCCUCUCCACGUCUGGACAAUAGGUGACCUCUCCCUCUCCUCAUCCCUGUGGGAGGUGACCUCCUCUCCCUGUCCUGGUGGUGGGUGACGUCUCCCUCUCCUCAUCCUGGUGAUCAGUGACCUCUCCCUCUCCAUGUCCUGUCCAUAGGUGACAUCUCCCUCUCCUCAUCCUGGUGACCAGUGACCUCUCCCUCUCCUCAUCCUGGUGACCAGUGACUUUUCCCUCUCCUUGUCCUGGUGGGAGAUGACCUCCCCCUCUCCUCAUCCUGGUGACCAGUGACCUCUCCCUGUCCUUGUCAUGGUGAUCAGUGACCUUUCCCUCUCCUCAUCCUGGUGAUCACUGACCUCCUCUUCUCCAUGUCCUGGCAGUGGGUGACCUCUCCCUGUUCUCAUCCUGCCCUCCACCCCUGCUCACUUUGUCCCUCCUGUCCCCCGACACAGGGACCGUGCGCCGUUUGUCUUCACCUCAGACAUGGCGUAUGUCAUCAACGGCGGGGACAAACCCUCCAGCCGCUUCCACGACUUCGUGGACCUGUGCUGCCAGGCCUACAACCUGAUCCGCAAGCACACCCACCUCUUCCUCAACCUGCUGGGGCUGAUGCUGUCCUGCGGCAUCCCCGAGCUCUCCGACCUGGAGGACCUCAAGUACGUCUACGACGCGCUGAGGCCGCAGGACUCUGAUGCUGAUGCCACCACCUACUUCACCAGGUAGGGGACACCAGGGUGGGUGACACAGCAGCAGGAGGCUCCCUCGGAUGGUGGUGUCACAGAUGUGUUUUAUGAAAAAUCCUCUUCUUAGGAUUUUUUGUCCUGAGAAGCUGAGAGGCCUCAGGAACAAAAUGUAACCAAUGGUUAUCUGCUGCUGUGGGAUGCAACAGGUGCAUCUGUGAUUGGUCUCAUGUGGUUGUUUCUAAUUAAUGGCCAAUCAUAGUCCAGCUGGCUCGGACUCUCUGAGAGUCAGGAGAUUUUGUUAUUCAUUCAAUUUUUUCCCUUUGUUUGCAAGCCUUCUGAUGAAA